CCUACGGGAGGCAGCAGUGGGGGAUAUUGCACAAUGGGCGCAAGCCUGAUGCAGCGACGCCGCGUGAGCGAAGAAGUAUUUCGGUAUGUAAAGCUCUAUCAGCAGGGAAGAAAAUGACGGUACCUGACUAAGAAGCUCCGGCUAAAUACGUGCCAGCAGCCGCGGUAAUACGUAUGGAGCAAGCGUUAUCCGGAUUUACUGGGUGUAAAGGGAGCGUAGGCGGCCCUGUAAGUCUGAUGUGAAAAUUUGGGGCUCAACCCCAAACGUGCAUUGGAAACUGCAGGGCUUGAGUGCCGGAGAGGCAGGCGGAAUUCCUAGUGUAGCGGUGAAAUGCGUAGAUAUUAGGAGGAACACCAGUGGCGAAGGCGGCCUGCUGGACGGUAACUGACGCUGAGGCUCGAAAGCGUGGGGAGCAAACAGGAUUAGAUACCCUUGUAGUC
RNAcentral lists this ribosomal RNA (440 nucleotides) under uncultured bacterium. RNAcentral describes it as "partial 16S ribosomal RNA". It matches the Rfam family "Bacterial small subunit ribosomal RNA", at positions 338 to 795 of the family's 1533-position model. The record is from RNAcentral.